RNAcentral lists this ribosomal RNA (346 nucleotides) under uncultured bacterium. RNAcentral's name for it is "partial 16S ribosomal RNA". It matches the Rfam family "Bacterial small subunit ribosomal RNA", at positions 338 to 681 of the family's 1533-position model. The record is from RNAcentral.
CCUACGGGAGGCAGCAGUGAGGAAUAUUGGUCAAUGGCCGGAAGGCUGAACCAGCCAAGUCGCGUGAAGGAAGAAGGAUCUGUGGUUUGUAAACUUCUUUUAUAGGGGAAUAAAGGCAGCCACGUGUGGAUAGUUGCAUGUACCCUAUGAAUAAGCAUCGGCUAACUCCGUGCCAGCAGCCGCGGUAAUACGGAGGAUGCGAGCGUUAUCCGGAUUUAUUGGGGUUAAAGGGUGCGUAGGGUGUUUUUUAAGUCAGCGGUGAAAGUUUGUGGCUCAACCAUAAAAUUGCCGUUGAAACUGGCAGCCUUGAGUUUGUUUGAGGUAGGCGGACUGCGUGGUGUCGCGG